GUGGGGAAUAUUGGACAAUGGGCGAAAGCCUGAUCCAGCCAUGCCGCGUGUGUGAAGAAGGUCUUCGGAUUGUAAAGCACUUUAAGUUGGGAGGAAGGGCAGUAAGUUAAUACCUUGCUGUUUUGACGUUACCGACAGAAUAAGCACCGGCUAACUUCGUGCCAGCAGCCGCGGUAAUACGAAGGGUGCAAGCGUUAAUCGGAAUUACUGGGCGUAAAGCGCGCGUAGGUGGUUUUGUAAGUUGGAGGUGAAAUCCCCGGGCUCAACCUGGGAAGUGACUCCAAAACGGCAUGACUAGAGUACGGUAGGGGGUAGUGGAAUUGCCUGUGUAGCGGUGAAAUGCGUAGAUAUAGGAAGGAACACCAGUGGCGAAGGCGACUACCUGGACUGAUACUGACACUGAGGUGCGAAAGCGUGGGGAGCAAACAGGAUUAGAUACCCCGGUAGUCC
Molecule: ribosomal RNA, 450 nt
Filed under: uncultured bacterium
Lineage: Bacteria
Description: bacterial SSU rRNA
Rfam family: Bacterial small subunit ribosomal RNA
Source: RNAcentral